CGAUAGCUUAUGCAACUUAUCAACCGAAGAAGCUAUACAGAUCAGUAAAAGAUGGUUACGACAAAUGGCACAGCCAUUCACGCAUGAGAACCAGCUUGGCUUGUCAUUAUUGACGAGAGAACAACUUGAGAAAAAAGAGGCUGCCAAGAUCGAACAAAAGGCUCAGCAAAAUUGAUAGUACAACAUUGGCACUAGGCCGAGUAAUCCGUUUUACUUAGGCAGAGUCAUCCGUGCGACAUUUACAGAAAAUAUAUUUCAUAUGCUGCUUGUAUGUAA
Long non-coding RNA from Wasmannia auropunctata (little fire ant), 276 nucleotides. RefSeq lists it as uncharacterized. The transcript is spliced from 2 exons. Lineage: Eukaryota; Metazoa; Arthropoda; Insecta; Hymenoptera; Formicidae. The record is from RefSeq and is a predicted model, not a curated record.